CAAAUUAUAGCUUAAAAGUAUUUUAUUUACAUUAAAAAGUUAAUUGUUGAAUCGAUUUAAUUUGA
Molecule: transfer RNA, 65 nt
Filed under: Siemssenius fulvipennis
Lineage: Eukaryota; Metazoa; Arthropoda; Insecta; Coleoptera; Chrysomelidae
Description: tRNA-Val
Source: RNAcentral